Molecule: ribosomal RNA, 456 nt
Filed under: uncultured bacterium
Lineage: Bacteria
Description: bacterial SSU rRNA
Rfam family: Bacterial small subunit ribosomal RNA
Source: RNAcentral
CAGCAGUGGGGAAUAUUGCACAAUCGGGGGAAACCCUGAUGCAGCCAUGCCGCGUGUGUGAAGAAGGCCUUCGGGUUGUAAAGCACUUUCAGUAGGGAGGAAGGUAGUGUAGUUAACACCUGCAUUAUUUGACGUUACCUACAGAAGAAGCACCGGCUAACUCCGUGCCAGCAGCCGCGGUAAUACGGGAGGGUGCGAGCGUUAAUCGGAAUUACGUGGGCGUAAAGCGCAUGCAGGCGGCCUGUUAAGUCAGAUGUGAAAGCCCGGGGCUUAACCUCGGAAUUGCAUUUGAAACUGGCAGGCUAGAGUCUUGUAGAGGGGGGUAGGAAUUUCAGGUGUAGCGGUGAAAUGCGUAGAGAUCUGAAGGAAUACCAGUGGCGAAGGCGGCCCCCUGGACAAAGACUGACGCUCAGAUGCGAAAGCGUGGGGAGCAAACAGGAUUAGAUACCCUGGUAG